UAAAAAUCGUAUUGUUUCAGAUUUUCAAGCUAAAUAAGUAGUUGAUAAAAGCAAAUCCUACGAUACGUGUUAAAUAAAAUCAAAUAAAAUUAGGACACAGAUGGGAAUUUCAUAAUAACGUAAAAAUGCGAGAGAAUAAGUAGACUUUUGGAGCUCACUACUAGCAGACGUUUUCUUGAGCAAAUUUCAAAACAACAAAUCGGAGCAAUAUUCAGCAAUAAGUAUUACACCCAUUUGGAACCAGCGCUGUGGUGUGCAGCAGCAAUCCACAUUGCAGGAGGAUUUAAACAUUUCAGCCAAAAGUUACAAAGAACAAGAAGAAGAGUGCGUGCAGUGGUUGUGGCGCUUCGCAGUGUUUGCGCGAGGGAAGCCAUUGUAAGCAAGUAAAUGCAGCAUUAACAAGUAUACGAAGAAAGAAUGAAGGAAGACACGAUGUAGACACGCGAGCCGAGCAUAAGUCGGCUUAAGUAUUACUUAAGUACAAAGGGUCGUCGGUCGUCGCUCUUCGCGCAGUCUAUAUGAACUGAACAUCUAUGUUUAUGUAGGUGGUAGGUGGUACGUGAGUUUGCACCCGAAUACCCGAUCUUCACUUGCAACCUGCGCAGUGUAUAUAUAGCGCUCAGGCGGCUCAGGCUCAGCUUGGCCCUUGAAACUUGGAACAGGAUUUUUGUCGGAGAAACUAUUCAAGUUGAGAACCUUAAUCUUCUCUUGGCAUAUUUCAGCUCCUUCGUGUCAAAUACAAAUGUGCAGUGGCACUCAAUCCCGGAGGUUGUCGUGAAUAUAAU
Long non-coding RNA from Copidosoma floridanum, 785 nucleotides. The record is from RefSeq and is a predicted model, not a curated record. NCBI's taxonomy places the organism in Eukaryota, Metazoa, Arthropoda, Insecta, Hymenoptera, Encyrtidae.